Molecule: ribosomal RNA, 402 nt
Filed under: Verrucomicrobiota bacterium
Lineage: Bacteria; Pseudomonadati; Verrucomicrobiota
Description: Verrucomicrobia bacterium partial 16S ribosomal RNA
Rfam family: Bacterial small subunit ribosomal RNA
Source: RNAcentral
UGGGGAAUUUUGCACAAUGGGGGAAACCCUGAUGCAGCGACGCCGCGUGAUUUAGAAGGCCUUCGGGUUGUAAAAAUCUUUUCUAUGGGAAGAAAAUGACAGUACCAUAGGAAUAAGGACCGGCUAAUUACGUGCCAGCAGCCGCGGUAAUACGUAAGGUCCGAGCGUUGUCCGGAAUCAUUGGGCGUAAAGGGUACGUAGGCGGGUAAGCAAGUUAGAAGUGAAAUCCUGUAGCUCAACUACAGUAAGCUUUUAAAACUGCUCAUCUUAAGAUAUGGAAGGGAAAGUGUAAUUCCUGGUGUAGCGAUGAACUGCGCAGAUAUUAGGAGGAAUACCGGUGGCGAAGGCGACUUUCUGGCCAUAAUCUGACGCUGAGGUACGAAAGCGUGGGUAGCAAACAGG